Long non-coding RNA from Homo sapiens (human), 442 nucleotides. RefSeq lists it as uncharacterized. The record is from RefSeq and is a predicted model, not a curated record. The transcript has 2 exons. NCBI's taxonomy places the organism in Eukaryota, Metazoa, Chordata, Mammalia, Primates, Hominidae.
AUACUAAGGAGCUUUUGCAAGUCAAUGUGCAAAAAGACACUACAAUGAGUGGAGAAUCAACAGUGCUCUCAGAACUUUGCUCUCAGAAAACUUAAGUUACCAGGCACUAAGUGGCUACUCAAAAUGUGGUUUGUGGACCAGAAGCAUCACAUCUCCUGGGAACUAGGUAGGCCUAAUGGAAUCAAGAGGGCCCUUUAGAGUGGAAGAGGGAAUUUGAAGAAAGAACCAGAGACAUGUCAGCAUGAGAAGGACUCAGCCUAAUCUUGCUGCCUUUGAAGUUGGAGGAAGGGGUCUAUGAAGCUGGAAAAGGUGAGGAAACAGAUUUUCCCCCAGGGCCUCCAGGAAGAAAUGCACCUGCUGGCACCUUGAUCUUAGCCAAGUAACCUCUACGUCAGACUUCUGACCUAUAAAACUGUAAAAUAAUAAAUGUGUGUUGUUUUAA